UAGGGAAUCUUCGGCAAUGGGGGGAACCCUGACCGAGCAACGCCGCGUGAGUGAAGAAGGUUUUCGGAUCGUAAAGCUCUGUUGUUAAGGAAGAACGGGUGUGAGAAUGGAAAGUUCAUGCUGUGACGGUACUUAACCAGAAAGGGACGGCUAACUACGUGCCAGCAGCCGCGGUAAUACGUAGGUCCCGAGCGUUGUCCGGAUUUAUUGGGCGUAAAGCGAGCGCAGGCGGUUAGAAAAGUCUGAAGUGAAAGGCAGUGGCUCAACCAUUGUAGGCUUUGGAAACUGUUUAACUUGAGUGCAGAAGGGGAGAGUGGAAUUCCAUGUGUAGCGGUGAAAUGCGUAGAUAUAUGGAGGAACACCGGUGGCGAAAGCGGCUCUCUGGUCUGUAACUGACGCUGAGGCUCGAAAGCGUGGGGAGCGAACAGG
This 429-nucleotide ribosomal RNA is filed under the name Verrucomicrobiota bacterium. RNAcentral describes it as "Verrucomicrobia bacterium partial 16S ribosomal RNA". It matches the Rfam family "Bacterial small subunit ribosomal RNA", at positions 355 to 776 of the family's 1533-position model. The record is from RNAcentral. Lineage: Bacteria; Pseudomonadati; Verrucomicrobiota.